GAAGGUUAACACGGCCGUGUUGGAUUCAACACUGGCCGUGUUGGAUGCAUCAAACAUCAAAGAAAAAAAGAGGUUUUUAGGGAGCACGGCCACAGAGAGUAACACGGGCAUCAACACCAGAACGUGUUGGGAACACGGGCAUCAACACGGCCAUGUUCGUGGCAGCUGGUCAAAUUCAUUUAAAAAGAAAGAAAAGAGAAAAAGGGAGGCAACUAGGGUUAGAAUGUCCAAAACUCAUCUUUUUCUCUGUCUAAGGGUUUUCUGAGUUGAAACUAAAGGAGAAGGAGACUUGGAUCAAGGUUUCACUUGGAUUCUCUUUGAAGAUCAAAGAUUGGCGAGGAUUG
Molecule: long non-coding RNA, 344 nt
Filed under: Ricinus communis (castor bean)
Lineage: Eukaryota; Viridiplantae; Streptophyta; Magnoliopsida; Malpighiales; Euphorbiaceae
Description: long non-coding RNA (RCOM_LNC000728)
Source: RNAcentral